CCCGCUGAGUUUAAGCAUAUCAAUAUGCGAAGGAAAAGAAACUUACCAAGAUUCCCCUAGUAAUAGCGAGCGAACCGAGAAAAGCCCAGCUUGAGAAUCGGGCGGCAUCGGCGUCCGAAUUGUAGUCUGGAGAAGCGUCCUCAGCGGCGAACCAGGCCCAAGUCCCCUGGAAAGGGGCGCCGGAGAGGGUGAGAGCCCCGUCGUGCCCUGAUCCUGUCGUACCACGAGGCGCUGUCUACGAGUCGAGUUAUUUGGGAACGCAGCCCUAAUCGGAUGGUAAAUUCCAUCCAAGGCUAAAUACGAGUGAGAGACCGAUAGUGAACAAGUACAGCGAGGGAAAGAUGAAAAGGACUUUGAAAAGAGAGUCAAAGAGUGCUUGAAAUUGUUGGGAGGGAAGUGGAUGGGGGAGAACGAUGCGCCCCGGUCGGAUGUGGAAUGGUGAGAGCCGGUCCACCGAUCGACUUGGGGUGUGGACCGACGCGAGUCAUGGCAGUGGCCCAAGCCUGGGACUUUGAUACGCUUGUGGAGACGUCGUCGCCUCGAUCGUGGGAUCCAGCACGCGCCUUCUCGGCGUGCUUCGGCACCUGUGUGCUCAGGGCAUCGGCCUGCGGGCUCCCCAUUCAGCCCGUCUUGAAACACGGACCAAGGAGUCUGACAUGUGUGCGGCUCAACGGGCUAGAAAACCCUUAAGGCGCAAGGAAGUUGAUUGGCGGGAUCCCUCGCGGGUGCACCACCGACUGACCUUAAUCUUCUAAGAAGGGUUCGAGUGAGAGCAUGCCUGUCGGGACCCGAAAGAUGGUGAACUAUGCCUGAGCGGGGCGAAGCCAGAGAAAACUCUAGUAGAGGCCCGCAGCGAUACUAGUGUGCAAAUCAUUUGUCUGACUUGGGUUUAGGGGUGAAAGACUAAUCGAAUCAUCGAGUGUCAUGGGUUGCGAAGGGAAACUUGCAACCAUGACGGACUUGUGUGAUUUAUCGCUUUUGAAGAAGGUCAUUUGGCCCAAUCAGACUAGUCCAGUGCUUGGAGAGAUUGGAAGCCCAUCUCUGGAGCUUAGCAAAUAUGAAAAGUAAUAUUCAAAGAUAUGCUUGGCAAAUAUGGAAGGCGAUCUUCAAAGAUAUGUGAUCCUAAACUUUAAUGUAAUCUUUAGAAGAUACGAUUCUGUAAUCUUUAGAGAUUUAAUAUCUUGAUAGCUUUAGAUCUUAGCCAUUGAUGUAUUUCGAUUUGUACCAUUGAUAUUGGGAAGGCUCAACUAUAAAUAGAGGCCGCUCCCCCUUAUUGUAUUCAUUCAAUAAUUAAUAGAAUUUUGAGAGCAUUCACUCAAACUUUUCUCUCAAAUGUUCUUAUUUUUCUGUGGCUUUUGUUCAUCUUUUGAGAUCGUUCUUACUUCGUUCUUCUACUGUUCUUCGUGCAUUCUUUAGAGGAGUUCUAUUGAAUCCUCAAUUGUUGCGAGAUAGGCUAACUUAGCCGUUUUUAAGCGGAGAAAUGCUUAAGGCCGUACGGAUUGCUUGGGAAAACUCUAAGUC
RNAcentral lists this non-coding RNA (1521 nucleotides) under Gossypium arboreum. Its description in RNAcentral is "Eukaryotic large subunit ribosomal RNA". It matches the Rfam family "Eukaryotic large subunit ribosomal RNA", at positions 24 to 1849 of the family's 3401-position model. The record is from Rfam by way of RNAcentral. Lineage: Eukaryota; Viridiplantae; Streptophyta; Magnoliopsida; Malvales; Malvaceae.